GAUGAACGCUGGCGGCGUGCCUAAUACAUGCAAGUCGAGCGAACAGACGAGGAGCUUGCUCCUCUGACGUUAGCGGCGGACGGGUGAGUAACACGUGGAUAACCUACCUAUAAGACUGGGAUAACAUCGGGAAACCGGAGCCAAUACCGGAUAAUAUAUUGAACGGCAUGGUUCAAUAGUGAAAGACGGCUUUGCUGUCACUUAUAGAUGGAUCCGCGCCGCAUUAGCUAGUUGGUAAGGUAACGGCUUACCAAGGCAACGAUGCGUAGCCGACCUGAGAGGGUGAUCGGCCACACUGGAACUGAGACACGGUCCAGACUCCUACGGGAGGCAGCAGUAGGGAAUCUUCCGCAAUGGGCGAAAGCCUGACGGAGCAACGCCGCGUGAGUGAUGAAGGUCUUCGGAUCGUAAAACUCUGUUAUUAGGGAAGAACAAAUGUGUAAGUAACUAUGCACGUCUUGACGGUACCUAAUCAGAAAGCCACGGCUAACUACGUG
Molecule: ribosomal RNA, 497 nt
Filed under: uncultured bacterium
Lineage: Bacteria
Description: partial 16S ribosomal RNA
Rfam family: Bacterial small subunit ribosomal RNA
Source: RNAcentral